GGAGGAUCCAAGCGUUAUCCGGAAUCAUUGGGUUUAAAGGGUCCGUAGGCGGUUUUAUAAGUCAGUGGUGAAAGCCCAUCGCUCAACGGUGGAACGGCCAUUGAUACUGUAGAACUUGAAUGAUUAAGAAGUAACUAGAAUAUGUAGUGUAGCGGUGAAAUGCUUAGAGAUUACAUGGAAUACCAAUUGCGAAGGCAGGUUACUAUUAAUUGAUUGACGCUGAUGGACGAAAGCGUGGGGAGCGAAC
Molecule: ribosomal RNA, 247 nt
Filed under: uncultured Flavobacterium sp.
Lineage: Bacteria; Pseudomonadati; Bacteroidota; Flavobacteriia; Flavobacteriales; Flavobacteriaceae
Description: partial 16S ribosomal RNA
Rfam family: Bacterial small subunit ribosomal RNA
Source: RNAcentral